RNAcentral lists this small nuclear RNA (99 nucleotides) under Procavia capensis (Cape rock hyrax). The record is from RNAcentral. Lineage: Eukaryota; Metazoa; Chordata; Mammalia; Hyracoidea; Procaviidae.
GUGUUCACUUUGGCAGCACAUAUACUAAAAUUUGAACUAUACAGAAAAGAUUAGCAUGGCUCCCGCGUGGUGCUUCCUUAAAAGGCUAAAAAUGGAAAU